GUGGGGAAUAUUGGACAAUGGGCGCAAGCCUGAUCCAGCCAUGCCGCGUGAGUGAUGAAGGCCUUAGGGUUGUAAAGCUCUUUUGUCCGGGAAGAUAAUGACUGUACCGGAAGAAUAAGCCCCGGCUAACUUCGUGCCAGCAGCCGCGGUAAUACGAAGGGGGCUAGCGUUGCUCGGAAUCACUGGGCGUAAAGGGCGCGUAGGCGGACUCUUAAGUCGGGGGUGAAAGCCCAGGGCUCAACCCUGGAAUUGCCUUCGAUACUGGGAGUCUUGAGUUCGGAAGAGGUUGGUGGAACUGCGAGUGUAGAGGUGAAAUUCGUAGAUAUUCGCAAGAACACCGGUGGCGAAGGCGGCCAACUGGUCCGAAACUGACGCUGAGGCGCGAAAGCGUGGGGAGCAAACAGGAUUAGAUACCCUGGUAGUCC
This 425-nucleotide ribosomal RNA is filed under the name uncultured Allobosea sp. RNAcentral describes it as "bacterial SSU rRNA". It matches the Rfam family "Bacterial small subunit ribosomal RNA", at positions 354 to 796 of the family's 1533-position model. Lineage: Bacteria; Pseudomonadati; Pseudomonadota; Alphaproteobacteria; Hyphomicrobiales; Alloboseaceae. The record is from RNAcentral.